RNAcentral lists this non-coding RNA (30 nucleotides) under Rattus norvegicus (Norway rat). The record is from RNAcentral. Lineage: Eukaryota; Metazoa; Chordata; Mammalia; Rodentia; Muridae.
UCUCAUUUGUUAACGAUUAGAGCAUUUAGU